RNAcentral lists this ribosomal RNA (464 nucleotides) under uncultured bacterium. RNAcentral describes it as "bacterial SSU rRNA". It matches the Rfam family "Bacterial small subunit ribosomal RNA", at positions 36 to 518 of the family's 1533-position model. The record is from RNAcentral.
CUGGCGGCACGCCUAACACAUGCAAGUCGAACGGAGAUAUUUGGUUACUGAGAUAUCUAGUGGCGACGGGUGAGUAACACGUGAGCAACCUGCCUUUGAGAGAGGGAUAGCUUCUGGAAACGGAUGGUAAUACCUCAUAACGUAUACUUAAGGCAUCUUAUGUAUACCAAAGAUUUAUCACUCAAAGAUGGGCUCGCGUCUGAUUAGAUAGUUGGUGAGGUAACGGCUCACCAAGUCGACGAUCAGUAGCCGGACUGAGAGGUUGAACGGCCACAUUGGGACUGAGACACGGCCCAGACUCCUACGGGAGGCAGCAGUGGGGAAUAUUGCACAAUGGGGGAAACCCUGAAUGCAGCGAUGCCGCGUGGAGGAAGAAGGUUUUCGGAUUGUAAACUCCUGUCUUAAAGGACGAUAAUGACGGUACUUUAGGAGGAAGCUCCGGCUAACUACGUGCCAGCCGCUGC